GGCUAACGCUGGCGGCGUGUCUUAGCCAUGCAAGUCGAGCGGACUUAUGGGGUAACUUAUAAGUCAGCGGCGGACGGCGGAGUAACACGUAGCUAACCUACCCUCUGGACGGGGAUAACCUACCGAAAGGUGGGCUAAUACCCGAUGUAGUCAUCCUGUAUAGGGGUGAUGAAAGGUGGGCUUCUGUUUACAAGCUCAUGCUGGAGGAGGGGGCUGCGGCCUAUCAGGUAGUUGGUAGGGUAAUAGCCUACCAAGCCGAUGACGGGUAGCCGGCCUGAGAGGGUGACCGGCCACACUGGGACUGAGACACGGCCCAGACUCCUACGGGAGGCAGCAGUGGGGAAUAUUGGACAAUGGGCGAAAGCCUGAUCCAGCAACGCCGCGUGAGGGAUGACGGCCUUCGGGUUGUAAACCCUCCUUUCAGUACGGGACGAAGCGAAAGUGACGGUACCUACUAGAAGAAGGACCGGCCAACUACGUG
Molecule: ribosomal RNA, 481 nt
Filed under: uncultured bacterium
Lineage: Bacteria
Description: bacterial SSU rRNA
Rfam family: Bacterial small subunit ribosomal RNA
Source: RNAcentral